AUUGAACGCUGGCGGCAUGCCUUACACAUGCCAGUCGAACGGCAGCACGGGUGCUUGCCCCUGGUGGCGAGUGGCGAACGGGUGAGUAAUACAUCGGAACAUGUCCUGUAGUGGGGGAUAGCCCGGCGAAAGCCGGAUUAAUACCGCAUACGAUCUACGGAUGAAAGCGGGGGACCUUCGGGCCUCGCGCUAUAGGGUUGGCCGAUGGCUGAUUAGCUAGUUGGUGGGGUAAAGGCCUACCAAGGCGACGAUCAGUAGCUGGUCUGAGAGGACGACCAGCCACACUGGGACUGAGACACGGCCCAGACUCCUACGGGAGGCAGCAGUGGGGAAUUUUGGACAAUGGGCGAAAGCCUGAUCCAGCAAUGCCGCGGGUGUGAAGAAGGCCUUCGGGUUGUAAAGCACUUUUGUCCGGAAAGAAAUCCUUGGCCCUAAUACGGUCGGGGGAUGACGGGACCGGAAGAAUAAGCACCGGCUAACUACGU
Molecule: ribosomal RNA, 485 nt
Filed under: uncultured bacterium
Lineage: Bacteria
Description: partial 16S ribosomal RNA
Rfam family: Bacterial small subunit ribosomal RNA
Source: RNAcentral